GAUGAACGCUGGCGGCGCGCCUAACACAUGCAAGUCGAACGAUUAAAGCACCUUCGGGUGUGUAUAAAGUGGCGAACGGCUGAGUAACACGUGGGCAACCUGCCCCUUUCAUUGGGAUAGCCACGGGAAACCGUGGAUAAUACCGAAUACUUCGAGACUUCCGCAUGGAAGACUCGAGAAAGCUCCGGCGGAGAGGGAUGGGCCCGCGGCCUGUUAGCUUGUUGGUGGGGUAACGGCCUACCAAGGCAAUGAUGGGUAGCUGGGUUGAGAGACCGACCAGCCAGAUUGGGACUGAGACACGGCCCAGCCUCCUACGGGAGGCAGCAGUGGGGAAUCUUGCACAAUGGGCGAAAGCCUGAUGCAGCGACGCCGCGUGCGGGAUGAAGGCCUUCGGGUUGUAAACCGCUUUCAGCAGGGACGAGGCGAAAGUGACGGUACCUGCAGAAGAAGCCCCGGCUAACUACGUG
Molecule: ribosomal RNA, 467 nt
Filed under: uncultured bacterium
Lineage: Bacteria
Description: partial 16S ribosomal RNA
Rfam family: Bacterial small subunit ribosomal RNA
Source: RNAcentral